CCUACGGGAGGCAGCAGUGAGGAAUAUUGGUCAAUGGACGAGAGUCUGAACCAGCCAAGUAGCGUGAAGGAUGACUGCCCUAUGGGUUGUAAACUUCUUUUAUAUGGGAAUAAAAUGUUCCACGUGUGGGCUUUUGUAUGUACCUUAUGAAUAAGGAUCGGCUAACGCCGUGCCAGCAGCCGCGGUAAUACGGAGGAGCCGAGCGUUAUCCGGAUUUAUUGGGUUUAAAGGGAGCGUAGGUGGUGUGUUAAGUCAGUUGUGAAAGUUUGCGGCUCAACCGUAAAAUUGCAGUUGAAACUGGCAGUCUUGAGUACAGUAGAGGUGGGCGGAAUUCGUGGUGUAGCGGUGAAAUGCUUAGAUAUCACGAAGAACUCCGAUUGCGAAGGCAGCUCACUGGACUGCAACUGACACUGAGGCUCGAAAGUGUGGGUAUCAAACAGGAUUAGAUACCCGGGUAGUC
Molecule: ribosomal RNA, 460 nt
Filed under: uncultured bacterium
Lineage: Bacteria
Description: partial 16S ribosomal RNA
Rfam family: Bacterial small subunit ribosomal RNA
Source: RNAcentral